Molecule: ribosomal RNA, 496 nt
Filed under: uncultured bacterium
Lineage: Bacteria
Description: partial 16S ribosomal RNA
Rfam family: Bacterial small subunit ribosomal RNA
Source: RNAcentral
GACGAACGCUGGCGGCGUGGCUAAUACAUGCAAGUUGAGCGCUGAAGGUUGGUACUUGUACCAACUGGAUGAGCAGCGAACGGGUGAGUAACGCGUGGGGAAUCUGCCUUUGAGCGGGGGACAACAUUUGGAAACGAAUGCUAAUACCGCAUAAAAACUUUAAACACAAGUUUUAAGUUUGAAAGAUGCAAUUGCAUCACUCAAAGAUGAUCCCGCGUUGUAUUAGCUAGUUGGUGAGGUAAAGGCUCACCAAGGCGAUGAUACAUAGCCGACCUGAGAGGGUGAUCGGCCACAUUGGGACUGAGACACGGCCCAAACUCCUACGGGAGGCAGCAGUAGGGAAUCUUCGGCAAUGGACGAAAGUCUGACCGAGCAACGCCGCGUGAGUGAAGAAGGUUUUCGGAUCGUAAAACUCUGUUGGUAGAGAAGAACGUUGGCGAGAGUGGAAAGCGCAUCAAGUGACGGUAACUACCCAGAAAGGGACGGCUAACUACGU